This 406-nucleotide ribosomal RNA is filed under the name Dysepicritus rufescens. RNAcentral's name for it is "partial 16S ribosomal RNA". Lineage: Eukaryota; Metazoa; Arthropoda; Insecta; Hemiptera; Anthocoridae. The record is from RNAcentral.
GCCGCAGUAUUUUAACUGUGCAAAGGUAGCAUAAUCAUUUGCUUUUUAAUUGGAAGCUUGUAUGAAGGGUUUUAUGAAAAAUAUUCUUUCUUUAUUUUAUUUAUAAUAAUUUUAUUUCUUUGUUAAAAAGCAAAGAUUUAUAUAUUAGACGAGAAGACCCUAUAAAACUUUAUUAAUAAAAUAAAUUUAUAUUUAUAGUUAAGUAAAAUUAUUAAUUUAUUUUAUUAAUUUUGUUGGGGUGACAAUUAAAUUUAUAUAACUUUAAUUUAUAAUUAAUCAUACAUUUUUGAUUUAUUUGAUCCAGAUAUAACUGAUUAUAAGAAUAAGUUACUUUAGGGAUAACAGCGUAAUUUUAUUGGAAAGUUCUUAUUGAUAAUAAAGUUUGCGACCUCGAUGUUGGAUUAAA